This 495-nucleotide ribosomal RNA is filed under the name uncultured bacterium. RNAcentral describes it as "partial 16S ribosomal RNA". It matches the Rfam family "Bacterial small subunit ribosomal RNA", at positions 28 to 507 of the family's 1533-position model. The record is from RNAcentral.
GACGAACGCUGGCGGCGUGCCUAAUACAUGCAAGUAGAACGCUGAAGGAGGAGCUUGCUUCUCCGGAUGAGUUGCGAACGGGUGAGUAACGCGUAGGUAACCUGCCUGGUAGCGGGGGAUAACUAUUGGAAACGAUAGCUAAUACCGCAUAACAGUAGAUGUUGCAUGACAUUUGCUUAAAAGGUGCAAUUGCAUCACUACCAGAUGGACCUGCGUUGUAUUAGCUAGUUGGUGAGGUAACGGCUCACCAAGGCGACGAUACAUAGCCGACCUGAGAGGGUGAGCGGCCACGCUGGGACUGAGACACGGCCCAGACUCCUACGGGAGGCAGCAGUAGGGAAGCUUCGGCAAUGGACGGAAGUCUGACCGAGCAACGCCGCGUGAGUGAAGAAGGUUUUCGGAUCGUAAAGCUCUGUUGUAAGAGAAGAACGAGUGUGAGAGUGGAAAGUUCACACUGUGACGGUAUCUUACCAGAAAGGGACGGCUAACUACGUG